Molecule: ribosomal RNA, 282 nt
Filed under: Bacillus sp. CR10.2
Lineage: Bacteria; Bacillati; Bacillota; Bacilli; Caryophanales; Bacillaceae
Description: partial 16S ribosomal RNA
Rfam family: Bacterial small subunit ribosomal RNA
Source: RNAcentral
GCUUGCUUCUAGACGUUAGCGGCGGACGGGUGAGUAACACGUGGGCAACCUGCCUGUAAGACUGGGAUAACUUCGGGAAACCGAAGCUAAUACCGGAUAGGAUCUUCUCCUUCAUGGGAGAUGAUUGAAAGAUGGUUUCGGCUAUCACUUACAGAUGGGCCCGCGGUGCAUUAGCUAGUUGGUGAGGUAACGGCUCACCAAGGCAACGAUGCAUAGCCGACCUGAGAGGGUGAUCGGCCACACUGGGACUGAGACACGGCCCAGACUCCUACGGGAGGCAGC